Molecule: long non-coding RNA, 1450 nt
Filed under: Sus scrofa (pig)
Lineage: Eukaryota; Metazoa; Chordata; Mammalia; Artiodactyla; Suidae
Description: lncRNA (ENSSSCG00070002614.1)
Source: RNAcentral
GACGGCGCCCCCAGCGGAGCGGGAAGUCCCGCCCACACCGUCUCGUUCCCGCGCGGAAACGCCCUUGCAAGUCCUUGGCCACGCCGCGUGGGCGGGUGCGGGGCAUUGUGGGUGAUGUAGUUCUCGCGGCCCCGCCCGCCGCCGGGGAGGGCCCGUCCCGCCAGGACCUGGAGUCCUGGAAGCCGUGGCAGCAGCGGGGGUCCAGGCAGCGGUCUGCCCUGGCGGCCGCCCCACACAGGAAUUCAAGCCGCCUCCUCCGUCCUGAGCUCUGCCUACACGGAAAUCCACAAGUAUGGUAUGAAACUUCCACAUAGUUUAAAGGCUGGACGAAAUCUUUUUUUUUUUUUUUUUUGUCUUUUGUUGUUGUUGUUGUUGUUGUUGUUGCUAUUUCUUGGGCCGCUCCCGCGGCAUAUGGAGGUUCCCAGGCUAGGGGUUGAAUCGGAGCUGUAGCCACCGGCCUACGCCAGAGCCACAGCAACGCAGGAUCCGAGCCGCGUCUGCAACCUACACCACAGCUCACGGCAACGCCGGAUCGUUAACCCACUGAGCAAGGGCAGGGACCGAACCCGCAACCUCAUGGUUCCUAGUCGGAUUUGUUAACCACUGUGCCACGACGGGAACUCCCCCCUUUUUUUUUUUCUUUUUUGUCUUUUGGUCUGUUGUUGUUGUUGUUGUUGUUGCUGCUAUUUCUUGGGCCGCUCCCGCGGCAUAUGGAGGUUCCCAGGCUAGGGGUUGAAUCGGAGCUGCAGCCACCGGCCUACGCCAGAGCCACAGCAACGAGGGAUCCGAGCCGCGUCUGCAAGCUACACCACAGCUGAGCAAGGCCAGGGACCAAACCCGCAACCUCAUGGUUCCUAGUCGGAUUCGUUAACCACUGCGCCACAACAGGAACUCCUGGACGAAAUCUUUUUUUUUUUUUUUUUUUUUUUUUUUUGGUCUUUUUGUCUUUUUUGUUGUUGUUGCUAUUUCUUGGGCCGCUCCUGCGGCAUAUGGAGGUUCCCAGGCUAGGGGUUGAAUCGGAGCUGUAGCCACCGGCCUACGCCAGAGCCACAGCAAGGCAGGAUCCGAGCCGCGUCUGCAACCUACACCACAGCUCACGGCAACGCCGGAUCGUUAACCCACUGAGCAAGGGCAGGGACUGAACCCGCAACCUCAUGGUUCCUAGUCGGAUUCGUUAACCACUGCGCCACGACGGGAACUCCAUGGACGAAAUCUUAAAGUAGGAGCCCCUUUAGGAAAGACAUGUUCUUCCAGUAGGAAAGUUAUUUUUCGAGCUGAACAAGCGAGGAGGAAACUCCCUAAAUGACUGGCUCGCAUCACAUUUUAUACCGCCUCUGUUCCUAAUAGGACAUGUCUACUUCCCAUUGGAGAUCGGUUUUGCUGGGUGGCGUUUACUCAUGGAAAGAGGGCUGGAUUUCCCUGGCUUUAUUUGGGGAAUGGAAGAGAGCCU